Alosa sapidissima (American shad) is the source of this 389-nucleotide long non-coding RNA. RefSeq lists it as uncharacterized. The record is from RefSeq and is a predicted model, not a curated record. Lineage: Eukaryota; Metazoa; Chordata; Actinopteri; Clupeiformes; Clupeidae. The transcript is spliced from 3 exons.
GGGACCGACGGUAAUAGGGGGAGUUACGAUAUAAAGAUCCCCCCCCACGAAGCUUCUUUGAUGAUCACCCUUUGAAAAGAAAUGAGGAAAGAAGAAUUUUCCCUUGCAUUUUGUAUGGUACUGGAAUCCUGACUGGUUUUUGUUGUACCCCGAACAAACCCUGUUUGCCUUGCCCUGGAACCCUUGGAUUUACCCUCUGGAUUUCCCUCAUCAUCCUGGAUUUGGAUUCAUCAUCAUCUACAUCAAUUUGCCCCUUCCUUUUGGACUGCUGGUUAGGCUACAUAUCAUCAUCAGAGGCGGACAGAGUACACAGCUUCAUUACUUGAGUAAAAGUACAGAUACCCUUUGCUAAAUUUGACUCAAGUACAAGUAAAAGUACAACAGUCAGA